Panicum virgatum (switchgrass) is the source of this 156-nucleotide ribosomal RNA. RefSeq annotates it as 5.8S ribosomal RNA. The record is from RefSeq and is a predicted model, not a curated record. The transcript has a single exon. Lineage: Eukaryota; Viridiplantae; Streptophyta; Magnoliopsida; Poales; Poaceae.
GACUCUCGGCAAUGGAUAUCUUGGCUCUUGCGUCGAUGAAGAACAUAGCUAAAUGCGAUACCUGGUGUGAAUUGCGGAAUCCUGCGAACCAUUGAGUUUUUGAAAGCAAGUUGUGCCCGAGGCCUUCUGGUUGAGGGCACGUAUGCUUGGGCAUCA